RNAcentral lists this ribosomal RNA (253 nucleotides) under uncultured bacterium. Its description in RNAcentral is "partial 16S ribosomal RNA". It matches the Rfam family "Bacterial small subunit ribosomal RNA", at positions 524 to 776 of the family's 1533-position model. The record is from RNAcentral.
UACGUAGGGUCCGAGCGUUGUCCGGAAUUACUGGGCGUAAAGAGCUCGUAGGUGGUUUGUCGCGUUGUUCGUGAAAACUCACAGCUUAACUGUGGGCGUGCGGGCGAUACGGGCAGACUGGAGUACUGCAGGGGAGACUGGAAUUCCUGGUGUAGCGGUGAAAUGCGUAGAUAUCAGGAGGAAUACCGGUGGCGAAAGCGACUCUCUGGACGGCAACUGACGCUGAGGCACGAAAGCGUGGGGAGCAAACAGG